Molecule: long non-coding RNA, 2871 nt
Organism: Vespula vulgaris
Lineage: Eukaryota; Metazoa; Arthropoda; Insecta; Hymenoptera; Vespidae
Exons: 6
Source: RefSeq, a predicted model, not a curated record
AAAAAAAAAGAAAAAAAAAUUCCAUUCUUUGUAUUUAUUAUCUAUUAAAAAUUAAUAGGUUAAGGAUAGAAAAUAAAGUGCUCAUUCCUCCGUACGACUAUAUUGGUUAAUAACACGAUGUUAUAUACGUGUGAGUACAUCCCUCUCUUCGAACGAAAGAGGAACGCGUUCAUUCGUGUGUACGCACGCGCCGCCUAGAGGCCAAGCAGUGCGUUGACCUUCGCUAAGGAUGUGCCCAUGUCCCCAGGCCGGGUCACACUCGAGUCUUGCGAUCGUAGGAAAACAUGUACGACAGAAGUACACACCGCACGUGUCGCGAACUCAUUUUGAAGAUCCGUUCACAUCGAAACAAAUUAAAAGAGCACAUAAUAAUCAAGAAAAAUACGAAAAGGAAAAAUAUAGCACGUACGUGUGAAAGCAUCUUUAAUCUUGUUUUCAUCGAAGUCACUCGGUCUCGUCUCCUUUCGGAGCUUUCUUCUUCUGCUGCCCUGCUUCCAAGUAUUUGCUAAAGGCGGUACGACGUUACGAGAGACUCCACCCAUAAGGCUGACACGGACACGUCCAAUACCCGGAUCCUUCUCUCUUUUAGAUAGCACCUUACCAAGAAGGAUAUAAAGGUAUCAUGGUGUCUCGUGUAUAACUUUCGUGAAAAUAAGGGAGUCAAGGGAGAAAAAAUAGAAGAGAAGAGUAUGAGAUAAGGGACUCUGGCUGGUAGUACGCAACGAUGAAAAUUUAUUCGUCGCACGUGCGAAAUAUCAAGUUUGCUGCUAAGACACUUGAAAGGUUUAUGCGCUUCGAUACGUGCUGCAAUACGUCGUCGUAUCCCAUUGCGGAUAUAACGAUCGUUGUGUGCAGUGCCGUAGCGAGUAUGCCGGACUCGAUCGAAGAACGAUCGGCUGAUGAAAGGGGAAGAGAUGGAAGACUAUAUACAUAAGAGGGGAAAAAGUCAUAGAAGAGGGUAAGUCUCGAAAGGGUUGACACGUGCGUGAAAUGCGUAUCACCCUCAUGUCUUCCCCGUCAUCAUCAUAAUCAACAUCGUUGUUGUAGUCGUCAUAGUCGUCAUAGUCGCCUCGUCCUCCUUAUUUCAAUGAGGGCUACGCACAGGUGCGCGUGAGCGUGCAAGGAUUAAGAGGACGUCUCGUUGAAGCUUCGCGAAGAUGAGAGCAAGUCUCUAACUUCGCAAGGAGGGUGAGGAAGAGAGAAAAAGGGGGAGAGAGAGAGAGAGAGAGAGAGAGAGAGAGAGAGAGAGAGGACUUUGCUAUACUUCAGUUUCAGAUGUUCUCAACACGGUUAGUAUGGGGCGCCGGUCAAUACUAGCGCCGCGCAGUAUGUUCAGUGCCGUCACCUAUGCGCAUUCACCCCUUGCUAUUUGUUAAAUCUAUCGAAAACAAUUUUCUACUUGACUUUCUUCAAUUUUUAUCAUAUAUUCUCGAGUUAUUCGAAAUAGAUGAUUAGAAUACGAUUCGUCAAGGUUUUAGAAAAAUAUCGUAGUAAUCUUAAAUCGAAGUAAUUUUAAUGAUUUUCUAAAGGAUACUUUGGAAGGAAUAUAUCCUUGGAAUAGAACAGUAGAAUCUUGUAAAAUUUUAUCGAUAUUUCAAAUCGUUUCAUUUAGAAUAGAUCGAGCAAUAUUAGUUCGAUGUUUCAACGUUUUUUUUUUUUUUCGAAUCAUAGAUAAUCGAGAGAUCUUAAAGUCGUCGUUGAAAAAUAAAAAAUAGAGAGAGUAGAGAUUGUGGAUAGUAAAUCUAGAAAAAACAAGAGUGAGAGAACCGAAGAAAUGUUUAUCGUCGAAAUCGAUCGCCCUCGUCGGCACCGCGUCAAAAUCGUAGAAGCGGAGGGGACUAGUCUAGGAUACGAGAAUACGGUACUAGCUACUAAGAGAAAGCACUGCGGCAAUCGAAACGAAACACGGUCGAUCGAUAAAUCGAGCAACGUAAUCGAAAAUUGGUCCUUAAUCGUGAUGUCACUCCUAUCGUAUUUGCUUCAAAAGAUACUCGAAAUCUAUUUUAAAUUAAAUCACGAAAGUGAACAUGUGCGAGGUAUUAGAAUUUUUAUUGACUAUUAAAUUGAGAGGUAAUCUAAAAAAAAUAUAAAAAUAUUAAGUUACACAUGAUAACUAUGCAGUCAAUAACUAUGUAGAAGAAUCGUAUGUUCUAUUCUAUUAAUUGUUAAUUAAUUAACAUUGAAGAAGUAUAUGAGAAAGAGAAUUAGGUAGAAUCAGGUGAAUAAAAAGGCAACUUCAAGCUUUUUCGAAGCGAAUUUCUUCAUUUCUUUGCGUUUUCUACUUCGUAUUCAGUAGUAAUAGCCUAUCGUAGGCAGGCACGGUACGUUUCUAAGGAACGCGCGUUUCGAGUUUCGUAAAAUAAUUGAUUCAUGUUGAAUGAAAGAUACAUAAAAGGAGAAUAGAACAAAAAGAAAUACGAGAAAAAUAGAGAGAAUGAGAGAAAGAGAGAAAGAGAGAAUGAAAGAAAAAAAGGAGCCUCGUGCUUUCUUGAAGUAUGUUUUAUUAAAUUUUCAUUCAGUAGUAAUAUUUUGUUUUGGACAGACACGAUAUCUUUUUUAACUUCUUAACUUUGGUAUUAUUCAUUUUUUUGUACAUCAAGAAUUUUUGUAUUUUGUUAGUUUUUGAUUGUAUUUAUUUUUUUAGCAGAUAUGCUUUUGCAUAGUGAAAGAGAGAGAGAGAGAGGGAGAGAGAGAGAGAGAGAGAGAGAGAGAGAGAGAGAAAGAAAGGGAGAGAGAGAGGGUGAAGGAGAGAGACGAUACGGCUGGCUAUUUUGGCCGAGGCAGGAAGUCUUACGUACAUCAAACGAAUAGAUUAGCUUCUUCAUAUGUCAGUCACGUAUUCGUCCAUACAUGGUGUUCAAAAAUUCCUUA